UAGGCCUCUGGCUUCUGCUAUGUCAACGACAUUGUGAUUGGCAUCCUGGAGCUGCUCAAGUAAGUAGCCCAGGAGGAGAUGGGGGCAGUUACGGGAUUCUUGGCUGAGGAGGUCUCUCAGUCUCAACCCUGACCUUGACCUCCCUCCUCCCUGAUUAGCUUCUCCCAAGUUCUUGAUGCUUUAUUCAGGCUGCCUCUUCCACUGCUGCAGAUUCCCUACUGCCUGCUCACAUUUCAGCCUUCUCUGCAUAUCCCUCUCCUGUCCCUGCCUCUAGCCUCUAGGCUGGAGCCCCCAGUUGCCUUUAGGGAACUGGUGACAUUAAGUUUCAGGUGGCCAGGGCAGAAGCAGACUCUUCACAAUUCGAGACCCGGUGUUUGAGAGGAGUGGGUUGGGGGGUUCACUUCUAGCUCAGACCCUGGCUUUGGCUUCCCUCUAGGUACCACCCUCGGGUGCUCUACAUUGACAUUGACAUCCACCAUGGUGAUGGGGUUCAAGAAGCUUUCUACCUCACUGACCGGGUCAUGACGGUGUCCUUCCACAAAUAUGGAAAUUACUUCUUCCCUGGCACAGGUGACAUGUAUGAAGUCGGGGCAGAGAGUGGCCGC
Molecule: small RNA, 605 nt
Filed under: Pan troglodytes (chimpanzee)
Lineage: Eukaryota; Metazoa; Chordata; Mammalia; Primates; Hominidae
Description: retained intron
Source: RNAcentral